Long non-coding RNA from Cavia porcellus (domestic guinea pig), 672 nucleotides. RefSeq lists it as uncharacterized. Lineage: Eukaryota; Metazoa; Chordata; Mammalia; Rodentia; Caviidae. The transcript has 2 exons. The record is from RefSeq and is a predicted model, not a curated record.
CCUUCCCCGUAGGAGCUGUUCUCUUCAGGAUGUAUUUUCCAGGUCCUGACGCAAGCAGAAGUACAUUGAGAGAUAAGUGCCGAGGGGCAGCCCGCCAGGGCUGGCCCGGUCCCAGCUCCCACGAGAGCAGCCAGCGCUGGCCCCGGGGGCCUGCCUGCCCACCCACCGCCUGCUCAGAGCAGGUCUUUGUGCCCCGGCCCGCAGGUGCGGGGGUGGGAUGGGGUUCUUGGCACUAGCAGCUUUCUGACCACAUGAGACAGCAGUAGGCCAAGGUCUCAACUGUGUAUAAAAAGGGACGCUGCGGCUGCAGUGGUAGGACUCCACCUCGCAGCAGACAAGGAGUUCUCCACCGGUUCUCCAGGGACCUGCACAGCUCACUGCCGCUGAGGACCCAGCAGUCCUGGACCCUGGACGCCGGGUGAUGACUUUUGGUCUCAUCCAGGAGGCAGACGUGCUAGCUAAGGAUGUUGCUAGGCAUUGAGUCCAAGAAACCGUGCUUCCUAACACCUGGGCUGGGUGCGUAACUUGGUGGCAGUGUGCUUUCCUAGCAUGUAUGAGGCCUUAGGUUUCAUCCCCAGCACCACAAAAAAGGAAAGAAAAGGCAAUAAAGUUAAUUUCACUUAAAUUUACUGUAGUAAAGCUGAAAAAAAAUAAAACAUUCAGAUAAAGCUG